Molecule: RNA transcript, 2719 nt
Organism: Diceros bicornis minor
Lineage: Eukaryota; Metazoa; Chordata; Mammalia; Perissodactyla; Rhinocerotidae
Gene name: ral guanine nucleotide dissociation stimulator-like
Exons: 7
Source: RefSeq, a predicted model, not a curated record
GGUAGGGCUAUGUGGGCUCAUUGUGUACAGUUCAAGAGAUGACGUGGGGUCAUAGACCUCAACAGAUCUUAGAACUCUGGUAACCAGGCACCCACAGCCCCCCAUCCAGCUCACUUGAUUGGAGACAGUCAACAGGCAAAGAUGUUUUGUUGUUGUUUCCCAACUUUUGGAGGAUCUGGGCUCAAAAAAUCCCAGAAAGAGAAUCUUUUUGGUAGUUGGCGAUGUUGGCUCAGCCUUAAUUCUUGACGCCUCUGGGCAUCUGGCAGGAGGCAGUGAAAGGUAACACGGGGCAGCCCAGGAGAGGCUAGUGCAGGCCAGGGCACAGCUGUGAUCCCACCUGAUCAGCCCCACACCCCUUGCCCCUCUUUGUGUGUGUGUGUGUGUGUGUGUGCAUGUGUCUGUGAGGAGGGAAGAAGGCAGGACAUAAGGGGCGGGUCAUUCCUGAGCAGGAGCUGGUUGUUAGGUGUCGGAAACCUAACACCUAGGUCAUGUUCAUACCUCAGGCCAUGCCUGGAAGCAUGAGAAUGUGAGCUCCUCUACUCAUAUUGUUACCGAGCACUAGAGGAUUCAUCUCCUUCCCUCCCUGACCAGAGUUCUUUGCAGGGAUGCCCCUCUGUGCCUGAACUGAGGAACAGAUAUUCUCUUGGCGAUUGGCCCCAGUGGCAGUGUGCAGGCAGCCCCUGAUUCCUUCUGGCCCAGUUCCCAGGCAGUCUUUGCAGAACUCCACUCAAGAGGUUGUCGAGUAGCUGCCCAAUGGUUUCAAAUCCACCAACUCACUAGACAAGGGGCAGGUACAUGAGGCCAUCCACACUUUCCAGUGCUGCUCUGAGAUGAGAGCAGGAGCAGAGGGUCUCCACACUCAGGAGCUUGAGAUGACGGGGUUGGACUAGAACUAGGGAGAGACCAGACUCGGGCUGUCCCUUUUUUAAGCUAAAGGGGAUGUACAUGAAUGUCACCUUGCCUGGUUAGGAGAUGAGCUGCCGUGACCCUCUUACCCUUGUCCGGUGUGAGCUUCUGGAGGCCACUGAGGCAGAGCCAGAUGCGUCAGCUGCAGAGCUCCAGCCAGCGGCAGAAGAAGAGUAGUGGGCAGUGGUGGAGGUAGAGCUGGCUCCAGCUCUGUUGACACCACCCCCUCUAGCACUGGAGCCAGUGUCCCCUCCACCAGCAGUGUUGGAGGUGGAGCAAGGGCCAACAUGGGCUCCAGCAGGAGUGGGAGCUGCUUAGCUGGAGUCACCUGGACCAUCAUUUCUAGUGCGAAGUCCAUCUCCACCUGUGGCUCUUAAGGAGCGUGAGAAGCUUAAUCUCACGGCCUUCCUUCCUAAGCUGGUGGUGGAGCAGUUGACCAUGAUGGAUGCGGAGCUCUUCCAGAAGGUGGUGCCCUCUCCUUGCCUGGGCUCCACCUGGGGCAAGAGGAACAAGCCGGGCAAUGAGCACCAGACACCCAACAUCCAGGCCACCGUCGACCAAGUCAGAAGGGUGGCCAGCUUCGUCAUCACGCCCUGCCUCGGGGACCCGAGCAUGACAGCCCAGGACAGGGUGAGGGUGGUGGAGCGCUGGAUCCAGGUGGCCCAGGUGUGCUGUGGGAGGCCCAGUGGAGCCCCUCUCUGAAGCCUUGGGAACUGCCUCUCCACCUUUAUCAGCUCCCAGGAUUGCAGUAUGUGGUCUAAGCCCCUGCACAGUCCCUAGGCCCUUCCUGCCAGGGGCCCGCUGACUUUAACUCCAGGUCCCAGUGAGAGGAUGCUCACUUCCUACCUGGCUCCUUCCCUGGGUUGAGCUAAAAUCCUGCUCCCUGUGAGUGUUACUCUUUGGGUCCUAAAUGUGCCCUUCUGCGACUCCCUGAGCAUCUGUCUCAUCCAGGAGGGGAGAUUUAAAUAGAAGGGUACUGAAGCUAGAGCAAGCUGGGCUACAGUGCCCCACCUCACAGCUCAUUCUCUUCCCUUCCCCAGGAGUGCAAGAUCCUGAAGAACUUCUCCUCGCCCUGCACUGUAAUCUCUGCUCUGCAGAAAACCUCCACAAGCCACCUGAAGAACACACGGGGGAAGUUUCCCGGGGAAUGGGAUCAACCUUGAGAAGAGGACUGAGGAGCAGCAGUGGCACUCGCUGCAGGGGAGAAGAAAGAGGUGGAAAUCAGAGACCUUCUGGGCAGAACAGUCCUUGGCUCCACCCGCUGUAUCUUACAUUGAAUGGAAGAGUUUGAUACCAGAGAAGUGGGAGACCCAUCCAAUUGGCGGGAAUACCGAGUCAUGAGUAAGAUCUUGCUGCUCCAGGAGGCUGCAAAGAAUUACAACCUAGAGCCCGAGGGAGCGAUUUGGGGCCUCGUUCCAGGACAUGGAGUUGCUCAACGAGAAUGAGAGCUACAACCUGUCCUGCCAGCCAGAUCCCUAGACCUAGUUGGCCUGCAGAAUAUGCAAGGCCAAGAAGAACCGGCCAUCAUCAAGGUCAGGGCCCCCAGGCCCCAACCCCAAACCCCGUACCAGUGGCCGAUCACAGCGCCAUCCUCAGCAGCGGGGACACAGCUGGGAUGCUUGCGAUGCACAGGGCCAGCUCCUCCCACUUGAUGGGAAGGGGAGCAUUGUAAGCUGAUUCCUGGGGUCCCCUGAAGCCCAAGAGAGAAGGGACGACCCCAUCCCAGCUCCCUGACAUCUCUACCUCAGCACCUACUCACCCAUUGGGGAGGGUCAGUGGUUAUUUGUUGUAAAUAAUAAAUGACAUAUUUGAA